This is a small nuclear RNA of Hyaena hyaena (striped hyena), 104 nucleotides long. The record is from RefSeq and is a predicted model, not a curated record. NCBI's taxonomy places the organism in Eukaryota, Metazoa, Chordata, Mammalia, Carnivora, Hyaenidae.
GUGCUUGCUUCGGCAGCAUAUAUACUAAAAUUUGGAAUGAUACAGACAUUACCCUGGUCCCUGUGCAAGGAUGGCACUCAUGUUUGCAAGCAUUCCAUAUUUAA